UGAAGGUUGAGUAACAUCAACUGGAGGACCGAACCGACUAAUGUUGAAAAAUUAGCGGAUGACUUGUGGCUAGGGGUGAAAGGCCAAUCAAACUCGGAGAUAGCUGGUUCUCCCCGAAAGCUAUUUAGGUAGCGCCUCGGACGAAUACUACUGGGGGUAGAGCACUGUUAAGGCUAGGGGGUCAUCCCGACUUACCAACCCUUUGCAAACUCCGAAUACCAGUAAGUACUAUCCGGGAGACACACGGCGGGUGCUAACGUCCGUCGUGGAGAGGGAAACAACCCAGACCGCCAGCUAAGGUCCCAAAGUAUUGCUAAGUGGGAAACGAUGUGGGAAGGCUCAGACAGCUAGGAUGUUGGCUUAGAAGCAGCCAUCAUUUAAAGAAAGCGUAAUAGCUCACUAGUCGAGUCGGCCUGCGCGGAAGAUGUAACGGGGCUAAGCAAUACACCGAAGCUGCGGCAAUAUCUUUUAGAUAUUGGGUAGGGGAGCGUUCUGUAAGCCGUUGAAGGUGAAUCGUAAGGUUUGCUGGAGGUAUCAGAAGUGCGAAUGCUGACAUGAGUAACGACAAAGGGGGUGAAAAACCUCCUCGCCGGAAGACCAAGGGUUCCUGUCCAACGUUAAUCGGGGCAGGGUGAGUCGACCCCUAAGGUGAGGCCGAAAGGCGUAAUCGAUGGGAAACGGGUUAAUAUUCCCGUACUUCUGACUAUUGCGAUGGGGGGACGGAGAAGGCUAGGUGGGCCAGGCGACGGUUGUCCUGGUUCAAGUGCGUAGGCUUGAGAGUUAGGUAAAUCCGGCUCUCUCUAAGGCUGAGACACGACGUCGAGCUGCUACGGCAGUGAAGUCAUUGAUGCCAUGCUUCCAGGAAAAGCCUCUAAGCUUCAGAUAGUCAGGAAUCGUACCCCAAACCGACACAGGUGGUCGGGUAGAGAAUACCAAGGCGCUUGAGAGAACUCGGGUGAAGGAACUAGGCAAAAUGGUACCGUAACUUCGGGAGAAGGUACGCUCUUGAUGGUGAAGUCCCUCGCGGAUGGAGCUGACGAGAGUCGCAGAUACCAGGUGGCUGCAACUGUUUAUUAAAAACACAGCACUGUGCAAAAUCGCAAGAUGACGUAUACGGUGUGACGCCUGCCCGGUGCCGGAAGGUUAAUUGAUGGGGUUAGCGCAAGCGAAGCUCUUGAUCGAAGCCCCGGUAAACGGCGGCCGUAACUAUAACGGUCCUAAGGUAGCGAAAUUCCUUGUCGGGUAAGUUCCGACCUGCACGAAUGGCGUAAUGAUGGCCACGCUGUCUCCACCCGAGACUCAGUGAAAUUGAAAUCGCUGUGAAGAUGCAGUGUACCCGCGGCUAGACGGAAAGACCCCGUGAACCUUUACUACAGCUUGGCACUGAACAUUGAACCUACAUGUGUAGGAUAGGUGGGAGGCUAUGAAGACGUGACGCCAGUUGCGUUGGAGCCGUCCUUGAAAUACCACCCUUGUAUGUUUGAUGUUCUAACUUAGACCCAUUAUCUGGGUUGAGGACAGUGCCUGGUGGGUAGUUUGACUGGGGCGGUCUCCUCCCAAAGAGUAACGGAGGAGCACGAAGGUGGGCUAAUCACGGUUGGACAUCGUGAGGUUAGUGCAAUGGCAUAAGCCCGCUUAACUGCGAGAAUGACGGUUCGAGCAGGUGCGAAAGCAGGUCAUAGUGAUCCGGUGGUUCUGUAUGGAAGGGCCAUCGCUCAACGGAUAAAAGGUACUCCGGGGAUAACAGGCUGAUACCGCCCAAGAGUUCAUAUCGACGGCGGUGUUUGGCACCUCGAUGUCGGCUCAUCACAUCCUGGGGCUGAAGUCGGUCCCAAGGGUAUGGCUGUUCGCCAUUUAAAGUGGUACGCGAGCUGGGUUUAGAACGUCGUGAGACAGUUCGGUCCCUAUCUGCCGUGGGCGUUGGAAGAUUGAAGGGGGCUGCUCCUAGUACGAGAGGACCGGAGUGGACGAACCUCUGGUGUUCGGGUUGUGUCGCCAGACGCAUUGCCCGGUAGCUAAGUUCGGAAUUGAUAAGCGCUGAAAGCAUCUAAGCGCGAAGCGAGCCCUGAGAUGAGUCUUCCCUGAUACUUUAAGUAUCCUAAAGGGUUGUUCGAGACUAGAACGUUGAUAGGCAGGGUGUGUAAGCGUUGUGAGGCGUUGAGCUAACCUGUACUAAUUGCCCGUGAGGCUUAACCAU
This 2197-nucleotide ribosomal RNA is filed under the name Vibrio cholerae. Its description in RNAcentral is "partial 23S ribosomal RNA". It matches the Rfam family "Bacterial large subunit ribosomal RNA", at positions 746 to 2925 of the family's 2925-position model. The record is from RNAcentral. Lineage: Bacteria; Pseudomonadati; Pseudomonadota; Gammaproteobacteria; Vibrionales; Vibrionaceae.